CGAAUGGAUGAAUGCAUAGAGGCGUUGGCGGAGGCUCGGCGCCAAUCUCGGUGCCGGAUUCUGUACCAGGGUCCUAGGGGCACGGCCUGGUUCUUGGGGGAGCGGGUACUCCGGCAGACUACGGAGCUCACACGGUUCCCAGUCGCCGCCUUCUACUAUGUUGCGCCUCACAAGCAUCCUUACUAGCCGUCGGGCGGUGCUCCGACGGGUUACGCCUGCGGGCGAUCUGGUGAUGCUUGACCGCAACUAUCUUGACUUUGUGCGGCUCCGGAUCAUGCUUCCUCCGGUCGUCGAGCCUGAGCCUAUUUAUCUCGGCAGUUGGGCGCCGUCUGGUUGCACGAUCCGUUAUACCACGACGGGUGGGUCCAGGAUCAUGGAGGAGGUGCCUAUGAUCCCUGAUAAGGAGGGAUCUCAUCCGUUGGUCCCUGCUGAUGUUCGCGUGGUGCCUGCUAGGAUAGUCAACCGGGUGGUGCGCGUAGUCAACUAGCUAAAGGUCGCGUUGUCCUCGGCUUGGGCUGCUCUUUCCUGUAGCAUCCGAAACUCAACUCAGACUGGCGUCACAGGCCCGUAUGCCGGAGCUGAUGCGGACACCUCGGAGGGAUCGACAUUCUUUCGAGGGCGAUCGUGGUGUCUCCCGAUCGCAUGCUAGGCCUUGCUUUUCGAAUGUCGGUUUGGGUCAGAGGCCCAUGCGGCCACCGACUGGACUAAGGAGGAGUCAUGCCAGGCCAUUCGGGGUGCCACAGUCUCAAAGGGGUUGGCAGGCUCCUUCGUUUCAGCCUUUCCAGACCGGUUGGCAUCCUCAUCCAUUUCAGCCAGCUUUCCGUGCUAGGUGGGUGCCUGCGGCUGGAGACGCAGAGUUGGGACUCUUCUUAGUUCGAGACCUUGUUUGAUGGUCUGCAUGAUUCGCAGGGUGCUGGCACGAGUGGCGGUGCUCAUGGUGACGAGGAUGAGCCUCAGUAGGCCAUAUACAUGCAUUUGCUUUUUUUGGACAUGUAUCAUUUUUCGUAUUGUGCUACAGACAUUUGUACAUAUUGUUGCCUUUUGUACUUAGCUUCUUUUGUGUUGUCUGUGCGUGCA
Spinacia oleracea (spinach) is the source of this 1077-nucleotide long non-coding RNA. RefSeq lists it as uncharacterized. The record is from RefSeq and is a predicted model, not a curated record. The transcript has 4 exons. NCBI's taxonomy places the organism in Eukaryota, Viridiplantae, Streptophyta, Magnoliopsida, Caryophyllales, Amaranthaceae.